AGAGUUUGAUCCUGGCUCAGAUUGAACGCUGGCGGAACGCUUUACACAUGCAAGUCGAACGGUAACGCGGAGAGAAGCUUGCUUCUCUCCGGCGACGAGUGGCGAACGGGUGAGUAAUACAUCGGAACGUGUCCGCUCGUGGGGGACAACCAGCCGAAAGGUUGGCUAAUACCGCAUGAGUUCUACGGAAGAAAGAGGGGGACCCGCAAGGGCCUCUCGCGAGCGGAGCGGCCGAUGACUGAUUAGCCGGUUGGUGAGGUAACGGCUCACCAAAGCAACGAUCAGUAGCUGGUCUGAGAGGACGACCAGCCACACUGGGACUGAGACACGGCCCAGACUCCUACGGGAGGCAGCAGUGGGGAAUUUUGGACAAUGGGCGCAAGCCUGAUCCAGCUAUUCCGCGUGUGGGAUGAAGGCCCUCGGGUUGUAAACCACUUUUGUAGAGAACGAAAAGACACCUUCGAAUAAAGGGUGUUGCUGACGGUACUCUAAGAAUAAGCACCGGCUAACUACGUGCCAGCAGCCGCGGUAAUACGUAGGGUGCGAGCGUUAAUCGGAAUUACUGGGCGUAAAGGGUGCGCAGGCGGUUGAGUAAGACAGAUGUGAAAUCCCCGAGCUUAACUCGGGAAUGGCAUAUGUGACUGCUCGACUAGAGUGUGUCAGAGGGAGGUGGAAUUCCACGUGUAGCAGUGAAAUGCGUAGAUAUGCGGAAGAACACCGAUGGCGAAGGCAGCCUCCUGGGACAUAACUGACGCUCAGGCACGAAAGCGUGGGGAGCAAACAGGAUUAGAUACCCUGGUAGUCCACGCCCUAAACGAUGUUAACUAGUUGUUGGGAAGUAAAAUUCUCAGUAACGCAGCCAACGCGAGAAGUUAACCGCCUGGGAAGUACGGUCGCAAGACUAAAACUCAAAGGAAUUGACGGGGACCCGCACAA
RNAcentral lists this ribosomal RNA (936 nucleotides) under human gut metagenome. RNAcentral describes it as "bacterial SSU rRNA". It matches the Rfam family "Bacterial small subunit ribosomal RNA", at positions 8 to 928 of the family's 1533-position model. The record is from RNAcentral.